Molecule: ribosomal RNA, 379 nt
Filed under: Pseudomonas mosselii
Lineage: Bacteria; Pseudomonadati; Pseudomonadota; Gammaproteobacteria; Pseudomonadales; Pseudomonadaceae
Description: bacterial SSU rRNA
Rfam family: Bacterial small subunit ribosomal RNA
Source: RNAcentral
UCGAGCGGAUGAGUGGAGCUUGCUCCAUGAUUCAGCGGCGGACGGGUGAGUAAUGCCUAGGAAUCUGCCUGGUAGUGGGGGAUAACGUUUCGAAAGGAACGCUAAUACCGCAUACGUCCUACGGGAGAAAGUGGGGGAUCUUCGGACCUCACGCUAUCAGAUGAGCCUAGGUCGGAUUAGCUAGUUGGUGGGGUAAUGGCCCACCAAGGCGACGAUCCGUAACUGGUCUGAGAGGAUGAUCAGUCACACUGGAACUGAGACACGGUCCAGACUCCUACGGGAGGCAGCAGUGGGGAAUAUUGGACAAUGGGCGAAAGCCUGAUCCAGCCAUGCCGCGUGUGUGAAGAAGGUCUUCGGAUUGUAAAGCACUUUAAGUUGG